AGUACGAUACAGAGAAGAUUAGCAUGGCCUCUGCUCAUGGAUGACACGCGAAAUUUGGCUCUCUAACUGAUUUCA
RNAcentral lists this small nuclear RNA (75 nucleotides) under Trichobilharzia regenti. The record is from RNAcentral. Lineage: Eukaryota; Metazoa; Platyhelminthes; Trematoda; Strigeidida; Schistosomatidae.